This 74-nucleotide transfer RNA is filed under the name Tetradesmus obliquus. Its description in RNAcentral is "tRNA-Met". It matches the Rfam family "tRNA". From Rfam's summary of the family: Transfer RNA (tRNA) molecules are approximately 80 nucleotides in length. Their secondary structure includes four short double-helical elements and three loops (D, anti-codon, and T loops). The record is from RNAcentral. Lineage: Eukaryota; Viridiplantae; Chlorophyta; Chlorophyceae; Sphaeropleales; Scenedesmaceae.
ACACUGUUGGCCGAGCGGAUUAGGCAAUCGACUCAUAAUCGUUUUUAGAUAGGUUCAACUCCUAUACGGUGUAC